RNAcentral lists this antisense RNA (75 nucleotides) under Actinocrispum wychmicini. RNAcentral describes it as "ASpks TB sRNA". It matches the Rfam family "ASpks TB sRNA". The record is from Rfam by way of RNAcentral. Lineage: Bacteria; Bacillati; Actinomycetota; Actinomycetes; Pseudonocardiales; Pseudonocardiaceae.
CUUGACCGAGCCGAGCCACAGUGGACGGUCGGCAGGCCGGUUCUCGCCGUAUGUGGCGAUGAGCGCCUGGGCUUC